CGCACUGUCAAUACACCGACGCGACGCGCCAAACGUGUGGCUGUCAAUACACACUCGGCCGGCCUUACCGCGGGGCGUUAUCGCGCGCUUAUCCGUCGCUGAACAAUGUCCCGCGAAGCGAGCCGCACGUGUCGUAUUAUUGACAGGUAGACACGGCGGCAGGCAGGAUGUGUCCACAAGCGCCAUCUCCCGACAGGGUUGCUCACGCUGGUGGAGUUUGAAAAUUUUACGCGACACACUUCAUGCUCCGCCGAAGAAUGCAACUUGUUCGCUUCGCAAAGUAAAAAGAUAUUUUCCGAAAUAUUUCAUUAUUCUUGCUGAUACAUGAUUCCGGAUGGCUGCGCUUGCCGUUCAAUGCUAUUGAAGGAAAGUUAUUAGUUCGAGUAUUCGCUGGAGGGUAAAAACAAGAUGGAUGGAUAUAUAUUCAGGUUAAGUGAUAAUUAUUGACAAGUGUCCACCUGAAGGGAGGAUGUUGACCCUUUGCGAGGCAAGAUGCCUCUUUAGCUCAGUGGUAGAGCACUGGUCUCGUAAACCAGGGGUCGUGAGUUCAAACCUCACAGGAGGCAGUUCUUUUUGUCCGCUAGAAGACGACAAACAUCUAAAAUAGUCUACGAAGACGAUGAUGACGACGAUCGUCCCUCGAAUCCUGAUUUUAUCUCGGAGAUUGGACAUCAAUGGAAAUCGUGGGAAUUAUUGAUGAAAUGUGGGCGAAGGACCUCACUCUCUGACACACCAAUUGGUGUUUACUUUAUUGUCGCAGCCACUUUUCCAGUCCCGUCGAUCGGACGUGGGUGUUAGAUUCACCGAG
Linepithema humile (Argentine ant) is the source of this 808-nucleotide non-coding RNA. The record is from RefSeq and is a predicted model, not a curated record. NCBI's taxonomy places the organism in Eukaryota, Metazoa, Arthropoda, Insecta, Hymenoptera, Formicidae.